CGUAGGUGGCAAGCGUUGUCCGGAUUUAUUGGGCGUAAAGCGAGCGCAGGCGGUUCUUUAAGUCUGAUGUGAAAGCCCCCGGCUCAACCGGGGAGGGUCAUUGGAAAACUGGAGAACUUGAGUGCAGAAGAGGAGAGUGGAAUUCCACGUGUAGCGGUGAAAUGCGUAGAUAUGUGGAGGAACACCAGUGGCGAAGGCGACUCUCUGGUCUGUAACUGACGCUGAGGCUCGAAAGCGUGGGGGAGCAAACAGGAUU
Molecule: ribosomal RNA, 256 nt
Filed under: uncultured bacterium
Lineage: Bacteria
Description: partial 16S ribosomal RNA
Rfam family: Bacterial small subunit ribosomal RNA
Source: RNAcentral